RNAcentral lists this transfer RNA (85 nucleotides) under uncultured Actinomycetes bacterium. RNAcentral describes it as "uncultured actinobacterium tRNA-Val". The record is from RNAcentral. Lineage: Bacteria; Bacillati; Actinomycetota; Actinomycetes.
GCGCCUACGAAGCGUCGUUUGCGCGUGGCAGCUUCACGAGCUGCCCGCGGGGUUCGAGCGACCGUUCGAUGCGGUCGAGGCGCUC